GUUUCACGUUGAUCACUAAUAUUUCAUGUGGAUUGAUGAGUUGGUAAUGUCUUAACCGUUGUUACUUUAUAAAUGGACAACAAAGAUUCGUUACUUAGUUUUUUCAUCAAAUUGGUCAUAUAAAAAAAUAUUAUUAUACCCCUCGAUUUUUAGCUCAACCGAGGUAAUAGGUCAUAAAAAAAUUAAAAUGUGAUAAAAUAUGG
RNAcentral lists this long non-coding RNA (203 nucleotides) under Lathyrus oleraceus (garden pea). Its description in RNAcentral is "Pisum sativum (pea) long non-coding RNA (PSAT_LNC005065)". Lineage: Eukaryota; Viridiplantae; Streptophyta; Magnoliopsida; Fabales; Fabaceae. The record is from RNAcentral.